Molecule: ribozyme, 107 nt
Filed under: Aedes aegypti (yellow fever mosquito)
Lineage: Eukaryota; Metazoa; Arthropoda; Insecta; Diptera; Culicidae
Description: drz-agam-1 ribozyme
Rfam family: drz-agam-1 ribozyme
Source: Rfam by way of RNAcentral
UGCCCAGCAUCUCCUAUCCCUACCUCCUCGCGGUAGUGGCCGGGGUACGAGUAACCUUAGGGAAGAUCGGGUUGGUGGGAACUUUGGUCGUAUGCUGACAGGGAAGG